GGAUGUGAGGGCAAUCUGGCUGGGAUAUCUGUCACCCCAUUGAUCGCCAGGGUUGAUUCGGCUGAUCUGGCUGGUUAGACAGGUGUCCCCUUCCUCCCUCACCACUCCAUGUGCGCCCCUCCCGAAGCUGCGCUCUUGGUCGAGGAGGACGACCUUCCCCGAUAGAGGAGGACCGUUCUUUGGUCAAGGGUAUACGAGUAGCUGCGUUCCCAUGCUAGAGCCUCCAAACAAGCUCUCAAGGUCCAUUUGUAGGAGAACAUAGGGUAGUCAAGCUUCCAAGACUCCAGACACAUCCAGUUGAGGUGCUGCACGUGGCAGUCUGCCUUUCUUU
Molecule: small nuclear RNA, 331 nt
Filed under: Felis catus (domestic cat)
Lineage: Eukaryota; Metazoa; Chordata; Mammalia; Carnivora; Felidae
Description: 7SK RNA
Rfam family: 7SK RNA
About the family: 7SK was discovered as an abundant small nuclear RNA in the mid-70s but a possible function has only recently been suggested. Two independent studies have found that 7SK RNA binds the CDK9/cyclin T complex (known as elongation factor P-TEFb). P-TEFb activates transcription by phosphorylating the C-terminal domain of RNA polymerase II.
Source: Rfam by way of RNAcentral